Molecule: long non-coding RNA, 1385 nt
Filed under: Rattus norvegicus (Norway rat)
Lineage: Eukaryota; Metazoa; Chordata; Mammalia; Rodentia; Muridae
Description: long non-coding RNA NONRATT006332
Source: RNAcentral
CUCUUGCCCUGCCCCUAACUGGAGUCUGUGCCAAGCCCUCUUCUCCGUCACUGUGUUCACACUUGGCACUUGGCUGGCCCUGAGAAACGUAAUGACAGCCGCAAAUCUAAUCCGCAUACUUUCCAUCGACUCCGUAAUCUGAUCGAUGUUCCCUCUUGCACUGAAUAAUACAUGCCUCUCUCAGGUAAGCCAUUUUAUAAAAUAAGAGAUAAAAUGCACUGUCGAGACAGUGUUUGCUUCUGCCGAUGGUGUCCGACAGCACCCUGGGCAUUAGGGUGGUAGAGCUGCCACAGAGGCUCCCAGGCCCUAGAGGCUGAGAGCUCACUUGAAUCGUAAGCCUUCUUGCUUUUGAUAACACAGUAUUAUUUCUCUUACUGUAGAAGAAAAAGUUUAUUACCAAACAAGAGUAUUUUUAUGAAAGGAUAGGACAAACCUAUAAAUUAUCUCAACGUAUAUCUAUCUCCCUUGAAAAAAAAUACUUUCAGACUCCACCAAAAUGUAGGACUGAAAGAGUGUAUUUUGGAAGAAAGAGAUACAUUUUUGUAUGCUUUUUUUUCCUUUUGUAGAACUCCCGACUUAGUUUCUAAGACUGCAAAGAUCACUUCGUCACCAGCCCUGGGACCUGAGACCAAGGGGUUGUCUUGUGGGCAAUGAGGGGGGAAGGACAGGCCGGCCUGAGGUUCACAGUCAUUCCAAUGGGUUCUGAUGAGGGGCCGCUGGAUCUUGAAGGUGUGUUGGGGACCAGGAGGUUAAAAAGAUAGGCCCUCCCUCGAUGGUGGGUUCUUUGUGUUGGAGCUGAAUGGUUACAUGGAAGGAGUUGAGAAUUUGGAUACCAGUUCUGAGCUUGGUAGAAGAAACUAGGGUCACUCUGGCUAACAUAAGGGUACAGCAUCCUUAGUAACCCGAGCGUGGCUCGAAGCGUUCAUGAUUUCAUCCAAAACACAACAUGUAAACUUACUCAGCUAACAAUGGGGAAAUGUAUUGCUUCUGUGCGCAGUGGACUUAUGUGCAAUUUGUUCAAAAGGGAACAAGUCAUUGAGGAGAAACAAGCCCAAUACUUAGAGUCCCAAUUUUGUCUUAUUUGCCAAAAAAAAAAAAAAAAAGCAACCCCCGCCCCCUAGAGUUGAUAUUGUUACAAUGUACAUAUUGUAAAAUACGGAAGAAUCGAUGUAUCUUACUUUUUCAUUAUUUGCUAACCAAAGCUGUACAUUUUUCAUACAAAUCUGCAGCCUUUUGAGUAUCAAAGGGGUAAACCCACACCCAUCAGCCAUUCUGGAAGUGCACUAUUUAUACUGGUACCCUCGCUUUUUUUUUUCCCAUUUUCUUGCUGAGAUGACAUGAAUUGUUAAGUUUAUUUUUACACAGUAAAGAGUGAAGAAAGACUG